GCCUAACACAUGCAAGUCGAGCGGCAGCGACAACAUUGACCCUUCGGGUGAUUUGUUGGGCGGCGAGCGGCGGACGGGUGAGUAAUGCCUGGGAAUAUGCCCUGAUGUGGGGGAUAACCAUUGGAAACGAUGGCUAAUACCGCAUAAUCUCUUCGGAGCAAAGAGGGGGACCUUCGGGCCUCUCGCGUCAGGAUUAGCCCAGGUGAGAUUAGCUUGUUGGUGAGGUAAGAGCUCACCAAGGCAACGAUCUCUAGCUGGUCUGAGAGGAUGAUCAGCCACACUGGAACUGAGACACGGUCCAGACUCCUACGGGAGGCAGCAGUGGGGAAUAUUGCACAAUGGGGGAAACCCUGAUGCAGCCAUGCCGCGUGUAUGAAGAAGGCCUUCGGGUUGUAAAGUACUUUCAGUUGUGAGGAAGGCGUUGUCGUUAAUAGCGGCAGUGUUUGACGUUAGCAACAGAAGAAGCACCGGCUAACUCCGUGCCAGCAGCCGCGGUAAUACGGAGGGUGCGAGCGUUAAUCGGAAUUACUGGGCGUAAAGCGCAUGCAGGCGGCUUGUUAAGCCAGAUGUGAAAGCCCGGGGCUCAACCUCGGAAUAGCAUUUGGAACUGGCAGGCUAGAGUCUUGUAGAGGGGGGUAGAAUUUCAGGUGUAGCGGUGAAAUGCGUAGAGAUCUGAAGGAAUACCGGUGGCGAAGGCGGCCCCCUGGACAAAGACUGACGCUCAGAUGCGAAAGCGUGGGGAGCAAACAGGAUUAGAUACCCUGGUAGUCCACGCCGUAAACGAUGUCUACUUGGAGGCUGGAACCUUGAGUUCUGGCUUUCGGAGCUAACGCGUUAAGUAGACCGCCUGGGGAGUACGGUCGCAAGAUUAAAACUCAAAUGAAUUGACGGGGGCCCGCACAAGCGGUGGAGCAUGUGGUUUAAUUCGAUGCAACGCGAAGAAC
This 944-nucleotide ribosomal RNA is filed under the name Photobacterium lutimaris. RNAcentral's name for it is "bacterial SSU rRNA". It matches the Rfam family "Bacterial small subunit ribosomal RNA", at positions 46 to 969 of the family's 1533-position model. Lineage: Bacteria; Pseudomonadati; Pseudomonadota; Gammaproteobacteria; Vibrionales; Vibrionaceae. The record is from RNAcentral.